This is a long non-coding RNA of Culicoides brevitarsis, 539 nucleotides long. RefSeq lists it as uncharacterized. Lineage: Eukaryota; Metazoa; Arthropoda; Insecta; Diptera; Ceratopogonidae. The record is from RefSeq and is a predicted model, not a curated record. The transcript has 3 exons.
CACAUCGUGAAAAUUAAAAAAUUUAAUUUUUCCUUUGAAAAACCCCCAAAUUAAUUUUUGAAAUUAAAAUUCAUUAUUCAUUUUUGAAUAUUCAUUGAAAAAACAUCGAAGAUGACUACCAUUGAGAAGAUUGUCCGCAACUCGAAGGACGCCAUGGCGUAUUCGGUUCAUGGCAAGAAUGAAGAGUCGAUUUUCAAAAUUCCAAUGGGAGAAUUGAAGAAAAUCUUUGGCCGUGCACUGCACAUAGAGUCCAACCGCAAUGGGCUGUAUGUUGUGGUACAAAAAAGUUCCAAUGAACAACAGUUUCUGGAAGCAUUGCAGGAGAUUAAGGUCGGCAACAUUGUCCUGCCAGUGGAGGUCAAGCCCGCAAACCACAUCAACUACUCGGAAGGCAUCAUCAUUGCUCCGGAGUUGGAGGCGGUAACCGCUCAGGAGUUCUUAGGUAAAAAUUUACGUCUCUUCGUCUUUUUUAUUAUAAACUUAAUGUUAACUUUGCUGUUCCUGUUGAUAAAUCUGUAAAGAGUUAUUUUUUUAUUAUU